This is an RNA transcript of Triticum aestivum (bread wheat), 2190 nucleotides long. It is a transcript of the gene named histone-lysine N-methyltransferase, H3 lysine-9 specific SUVH4, with no coding region annotated. The record is from RefSeq and is a predicted model, not a curated record. Lineage: Eukaryota; Viridiplantae; Streptophyta; Magnoliopsida; Poales; Poaceae. The transcript is spliced from 5 exons.
GCCCGCAGCCCCCUGUUUUUGGGAUCGUGACUUCUUUCUCUAGGCCCCAGAUCGAGAAACUUGAGGGCUCCUUCCUUCCCCUCCUCCCGUGCGCUUCCCACUGAUCCGCCCCAAGUCGACCCCGUCUCCGGUCGAUGCCGGCGCUCCUGCAAGCCGUCGCCGACCUCCUAUGCCGGUCAGCCGCGCCCAACUCCCUCCUCCUCCCUUCUCUCCUCCUCUCCUCACUAAUCUCUGCUCUCUCUUCGUUCCCACGAUGCAGAACGCCAUGGCCAUGGACCGAAGCUCCGUUGGUCCCUCCCUCACGACUGCCAGUCUUCCUCCCGACCAGAUCGACGACGGCGAUGACCGGAUCUGCCCCACUGCCGUCCGUUUCCAAGGGACGUCAACGGAUGGGGUUUCUUCAUCUCAGCCUCCACCACCCGCGGGCUCACCGGUGAUGGACCUGCUCAGCAUGUAGGAUUGCGUGCUUCCUGGCGAGGUGGUCGUGUCUUGCCCGACGCGCCCUCGGCUGUCGAGUCUUUUUCCUCGGCGCGCCGUCCUCCAGUACCUCUGUCGUCAUUUGUACCACCGUGCGCCACUGCCCGUUCGCGUGAACCAUCCAGGUGGGUAGGUUUGGUUCUGAUCUUAAAAUUUUCCCCAUUCAAAUUUUCGUUGAUUUUGUUCAGAUUGAAAUUUGGGCUGUGUUUCGUUGAAGGCCCGAUUUCACCUGCUGAGAGCUGUUGAUAUCUCAGUUUAAAGCUCAUAUCUAUUAGGUUCAAAACUGAAUUUUAUCAGAGGAAGUUUUGUGUGUUCGCAAGCCUACAACACCCGUUGCAUUUUCUUCAGCAUGACCAACAACUGCACCUCUGAAGUUAACCAUGGCAAGCUACCCAAUAUAUCGUCUAGAUGCUUGAGGGAUAGCGUCACCGCUGUGCAUGAUUUCGAGGUGGCCAAUUAGCAGUUGUUGGAUGGCAUCUGGUCGGCAAACACAUUCCCUCAAGUUUUUGCCUCACCUAGCAUAAGCCCCACUUCCCCAGCCAACCCAACCGCCCCCUCCAUGCCGAACCCCUGUGCUGGUGGUGGACAAAAGUUAGCAAGAGGAACUUGAUUUUUUAGCUUUAUUUGUUUCUUAUACAGGUGAUGCUUUUCUAUAUUAUGGAUGGAUUCUUGAUAGCCAUCAUGGAUUACUGCUAAGUAGAUAAUCGAAUAUUAAAUAAGUAAAAAUCUUUGGGGUGGUAUAGUACUGAAAACAUGGUGUUAGUUCCUAUGAUUUUUAUGCUUAAAGCCUAUAUUAGUCGAAUUUAAUUGUUUUGUACAGUUACACACAGAGAUUACAACAUGGUAAAGUUUCUUUGUAGCUCAGGCUACAUAGAAUCAUUUGUGGCAGGAUCAAUGUUGUUCGUUGUUCUGUUCCAUGAUUCCUAGCAGUUUUUUGUUUCAUCAAAGGUGGUCACAUUCAGAUUCAGAUUUUUAUAAUUACAUUCAGAUUUUUUUACUUAAUGAUGGUAUGUGUAGCCAUCCUCCCUGGGGCUCCAAUCUGUGAGUAUGUUGGUGUGUUGCCGAGGACUGGAGAGAAAAGGUCAGGGUCUGAUAUGCAUAUGCCAUCACUUCAUGUUGAGAACAAUUCCGAGGCACCACCGGCACCCGAGUACUGCAUCGAUGCUGGCUCCGUUGGAAGUUUCGCAAGGUUCAUAAACCACGGCUGCAACCCUAACCUCUUCGCCCAGUGUGUCCUAACCAAUCACCACGACAUCAAGCUAGAAAAGGUAGCACCUAACAUCGACAACUGCGAUGUCAUGAACUCCCUCGCAAUUGCCGAAUAUGUCGCUGAAAUUACAACUUCUACAGACAGACCAAGGAGUUGAGUUGUGAGGCCCCCACCGACAUGACACACCAAACUGAUAUCAAUGAGAAAAGGCGUAGUAUUCCCAUUGACUGGUUGACUGAGGUGCAGUACAAGCUUGAGCUACUAGGUGAAACACUAUUCCUUGUUGUCAACAUCAUUAAUAGAUCAAUGCAUAGAAAAACAUGUCUCGAUUUUUCUCUUGAAUGGAACCUGCAAGUUUCUCAACUGUUUAGUGAAGCUUACCUUGAAAAGAACUAUAAAUACUACAGGAAGUAGAGUAAGACAAUGACAGUUAAUUGGAAUAUUGAUUUUGAGAGGAUAUUUAUGGGUUUAGAUCUCUGUAAUUACAUAUUACUUUCCUUGCU